GAACCGUACGAACGUUAUUCGGGAAUCACUGGGGCUUAAAGGGUGCGCAGGCGGCCUGUCAAGUUGGGUGUGAAAUCCCUCGGGCUCAACCGAGGGAAUUGCGCUCAAAAACUGGCAGGCUUGAGGAAGACAGAGGUGAGCGGAACUCAGGGUGGAGCGGUGAAAUGCGUUGAUAUCCUGGGGAACACCAGUAGCGAAGGCGGCUCACUGGGUCUUUUCUGACGCUCAGGCACGAAAGCUAGGGGAGCGAACGGGAUUAGAUACCCCGGUAGUCCUAGCUGUAAACGAUGAGCACUGGGUUGGAGGGUCCUCCAUAGCCUUCCAGCCGUAGCGAAAGUGUUAAGUGCUCCGCCUGGGGAGUAUGGUCGCAAAGGCUG
Molecule: ribosomal RNA, 377 nt
Filed under: uncultured organism
Description: partial 16S ribosomal RNA
Rfam family: Bacterial small subunit ribosomal RNA
Source: RNAcentral